ACGGAGAGUUUGAUCCUGGCUCAGGAUGAACGCUAGCGACAGGCUUAACACAUGCAAGUCGAGGGGCAGCGAGGGGUUAGCAAUAACUCUGUCGGCGACCGGCGCACGGGUGAGUAACGCGUAUGCAACCUACCUGCAUCAGGGGGAUAACCAGGAGAAAUCCUGACUAAUACCGCAUAUAUCGGUUGACCGCAUGGUUGAUUGAGGAAAGAGUUAUCGGAUGCAGAUGGGCAUGCGUGGCAUUAGGAAGUUGGCGGGGUAACGGCCCACCAAUCCGACGAUGCCUAGGGGUUCUGAGAGGAAGGUCCCCCACAUUGGUACUGAGACACGGAUCAAACUCCUACGGGAGGCAGCAGUGAGGAAUAUUGGUCAAUGGACGGAAGUCUGAACCAGCCAAGUCGCGUGAAGGACGACGGCCCUACGGGUUGUAAACUUCUUUAGUGCGGGAACAAAGGAGGGGACGUGUCCCCUUAUGAGUGUACCGCAAGAAUAAGCAUCGGCUAACUCCGUGCCAGCAGCCGCGGUAAUACGGAGGAUGCGAGCGUUAUCCGGAUUUAUUGGGUUUAAAGGGUGCGCAGGCGGACAGUCAAGUCAGCGGUAAAAUCGCGGGGCUCAACCCCGCUCAGCCGUUGAAACUGAUUAUCUAGCGUGGCGUCGAGGUAUGCGGAAUGCGUUGUGUAGCGGUGAAAUGCAUAGAUAUGACGCAGAACUCCAAUUGCGAAGGCAGCAUACCGGGCGCCUACGGACGCUGAGGCACGAAAGCGUGGGUAUCGAACAGGAUUAGAUACCCUGGUAGUCCACGCAGUAAACGAUGAAUACUUGCUAUUCGGCGGGAAUGACCGCUGGGUGGCGGAGCGAAAGCGUUAAGUAUUCCACCUGGGGAGUACGCCGGCAACGGUGAAACUCAAAGGAAUUGACGGGGGCCCGCACAAGCGGAGGAACAUGUGGUUUAAUUCGAUGAUACGCGAGGAACCUUACCCGGGCUUGAAUUGCAGAGGAAGGAUUUGGAGACAAUGACGCCCUUCGGGGCCUCUGUGAAGGUGCUGCAUGGUUGUCGUCAGCUCGUGCCGUGAGGUGUCGGCUUAAGUGCCAUAACGAGCGCAACCCCUCUCCUUAGUUGCCAUCAGGUUAAGCUGGGCACUCUGGGGACACUGCCACCGUAAGGUGUGAGGAAGGUGGGGAUGACGUCAAAUCAGCACGGCCCUUACGUCCGGGGCUACACACGUGUUACAAUGGCAGGUACAGAGAGACGGUCCCUUGCAAAACGGAUCAAAUCCUUAAAGCCUGUCUCAGUUCGGACUGGGGUCUGCAACCCGACCCCACGAAGCUGGAUUCGCUAGUAAUCGCGCAUCAGCCAUGGCGCGGUGAAUACGUUCCCGGGCCUUGUACACACCGCCCGUCAAGCCAUGGGAGCCGGGGGUACCUGAAGUCCGUAACCGCGAGGAGCGCCCUAGGGUAAAACUGGUGACUGGGGCUAAGUCGUAACAAGGUAGCCGUACCGGAAGGUGCGGCUGGAACACCUCCUU
This 1526-nucleotide ribosomal RNA is filed under the name human gut metagenome. RNAcentral describes it as "Bacterial small subunit ribosomal RNA". It matches the Rfam family "Bacterial small subunit ribosomal RNA". The record is from RNAcentral.